UACAGAGGUCUCAAGCGUUGUUCGGAUUCAUUGGGCGUAAAGGGUUCGUAGGUGGCCAACUAAGUCAGACGUGAAAUCCCUCAGCUUAACUGGGGAACUGCGUCUGAGACUGGAUGGCUUGAGUGCAGGAGAGGAACGCGGAAUUCCAGGUGUAGCGGUGAAAUGCGUAGAUAUCUGGAGGAACACCGGUGGCGAAGGCGGCGUUCUGGACUGCUACUGACACUGAGGAACGAAAGCCAGGGGAGCAAACGGG
RNAcentral lists this ribosomal RNA (253 nucleotides) under uncultured bacterium. Its description in RNAcentral is "partial 16S ribosomal RNA". It matches the Rfam family "Bacterial small subunit ribosomal RNA", at positions 524 to 776 of the family's 1533-position model. The record is from RNAcentral.